Molecule: ribosomal RNA, 1179 nt
Filed under: Triticum aestivum (bread wheat)
Lineage: Eukaryota; Viridiplantae; Streptophyta; Magnoliopsida; Poales; Poaceae
Description: partial small subunit ribosomal RNA
Source: RNAcentral
AUGCUACCAUGUUCUGUUCUACCUUCAAAGUCAACUAGGCACAAGAAAUCUUUGGUGCUCAAACUAGUUAUCCCAAUAGCCAGUAUGGUGUCACUUGCUAUGCUGAUAUUUGGCAUACUGCUUUUGAGAGGAAAACACAAGACACAAUCUGUAUUGGUGCCAUCAUUUGCUACAAAAUUUCCAAAAGUAUCUUUCAAUGAUGUAGCGACAGCAACACAGGGAUUCUCAACAUCCAACUUAAUUGGCAGAGGGAAAUACAGUUCUGUAUAUCAAGGAAAACUAGGAGAGGAAGAAAAUGAGGUUGCCAUAAAAGUCUUCAACCUAGAGACAAGAGGAGCACACAAGAGCUUCAUUGCAGAAUGUAAAGCGCUGAGAAAUGUUCGGCAUCGCAAUCUGGUGACUAUCCUAACCGCAUGCUCGAGCAUUGAUUCUAAGGGCAAUGAUUUCAAGGCCCUGGUCUAUGAGCUCAUGCCACAAGGAGACUUGCAUAAACUGCUAUACUCGACUCGAGAUUAUGAAGGCUCUUCAGAUUUGAACCACAUUACAAUGGCCCAAAGGAUGAGCAUUGCGGUGGAUGUAGCGGAUGCAUUGGAGUACCUACAUCACAACAACCAGGAAACAAUGGUUCAUUGUGAUUUGAAACCCAGUAACAUUCUUCUACAUGACAAUAUGACAGCUCAUGUUGGAGACUUUGGCCUGGCAAGAUUCAAGGUUGCUUCCACAGCAUCAUCUCUUGGAAACAAUAACUCUUCUUCACUUGCAGUAGUGGGAACGAUUGGAUAUGCUGCUCCAGAAUAUGCAUGGGGUGGUCAAGUUUCAACCGUCGCAGAUGUUUACAGCUUUGGUGUCGUUCUCCUCGAGAUAUUCAUUCGAAGAAGGCCAACUGAUGACAUGUUUACUGAUGGACUAAGCAUUGUGAAGUUUACAGAGGCCAGCUUCCCUGAUAGGGUGUUGGAGAUUGUUGACCCCCAGCUACUAAAAGAGUUGGAUGAAACUCCAAUAGCCUUCAAGGAAAAACAUGUACAUUGUCUGCUAUCUGUGCUAAAUGUUGGCCUUUGCUGCACUAAGACAUCCCCGGGCGAACGCAUCAACAUGCAAGAGGUAGCUGCCAAGCUACAUGGAAUCAAGGAUGCAUAUCUCAGAAGCAGUGCCGUUGCUUCAGUAGCAGUACCUGAAUAA